This 537-nucleotide ribosomal RNA is filed under the name uncultured bacterium. RNAcentral describes it as "bacterial SSU rRNA". It matches the Rfam family "Bacterial small subunit ribosomal RNA", at positions 102 to 674 of the family's 1533-position model. The record is from RNAcentral.
ACGGGUGAGUAACGCGUGGGAAUCUACCUUUUGCUACGGAAUAACUCAGGGAAACUUGUGCUAAUACCGUAUGUGCCCUUCGGGGGAAAGGUUUAUCGGCAAGAGAUGAGCCCGCGUUGGAUUAGCUAGUUGGUGGGGUAAAGGCCUACCAAGGCGACGAUCCAUAGCUGGUCUGAGAGGAUGAUCAGCCACACUGGGACUGAGACACGGCCCAGACUCCUACGGGAGGCAGCAGUGGGGAAUAUUGGACAAUGGGCGCAAGCCUGAUCCAGCCAUGCCGCGUGAGUGAUGACGGUCUUAGGAUUGUAAAGCUCUUUCACCGGUGAAGAUAAUGACGGUAACCGGAGAAGAAGCCCCGGCUAACUUCGUGCCAGCAGCCGCGGUAAUACGAAGGGGGCUAGCGUUGUUCGGAUUUACUGGGCGUAAAGCGCACGUAGGCGGACUUUUAAGUCAGGGGUGAAAUCCCAGAGCUCAACUCUGGAACUGCCUUUGAUACUGGAAGUCUUGAGUAUGGUAGAGGUGAGUGGAAUUCCGAGU